AGCCCCCAACAAACCCCUUGACCUCCAUUUUGCCCCCAAAGAUGAGGGCAAGAUGAGCAUCAGGGGAAUAUUCAGGCUGCUGAAAUACAGCGGCCCCAGAGCCACCUUAUAGUACCCCCCUGAACAAUGCAGGAACAGACCUAUCCCUGCCCACAGCCUCAUAUGGGGUUACAGUGCUCACAGGGUUAUGGGACAUGUGGAGCCUUGUGGUCACGCGGACUUUUCUGGGGUUCUGGGCUCAUGUGGGGUUACUGAUCAGGGCUUCAACAUUAGAUCGAAAUGAACCCCAAUCCCCUCUCAGGAAGAAAUCAAUGAAUGCACUCCAACACCACUCCACAUCCCCCAUUCUGACCCCAAACCGCUCCCCACGAGCCCCCAAGCCCCCCACGUACCCAUGCCACGUCAUGUCUCUGCACCCACAAGUCCCACCUGUACCUCACACCUCGCCUUCUCCUGUGAAGCACUCUGCUCCUGCAGGCUGUGGUCCAUAUCCCCUUAUCCUCCCCAAAUCCACCCAUGUUCUGAUCCGUGUUCCCCAGUAUCCCCAGUGCCGCCCACUUCACUUGCACCCACAUCUGUGCCCUACACCUUCUCCAGCUCCUCAUUCCUCACCUGCAGAAGCCAUCCAUGUCACAGCACUGUGAGGUUCUACAGGAUCUGGAGGCAGGUCGGGGGGAAAAGAGGCCAAAGAUGGGCUAUGGGGUUCCUGGGAUGGUGAUGGGGUCCUGUCAGGGACCGUGGGGAUCAGUGAGUUCCCAGGGGGGAUCUUGGAGGUGUAAAGGAGGUCUGAGGGAGGAAAUAGAAGGAUUCCGUGGAAGCCCAGUGGGGGACAUGGGGUGCUGCUGGGGACUGUGGGGCUCCAUGUGGCUAUGGGCCAGCUAUGGGGGAGGUGUACUGCGUCUGAGGGGGUCCUUGAGGGGCUCCAGGGCUCUGUGGGGGGCUACAGGGUGUCUCUAGGGGUCUUGCUGGGAAACACUGGGAGGGAUAUAUGGGCUCUGAGGGAAUGAUGGGUGGGCUGUCAUGAGAAAGGAAAGGGCAGCCUUGUGGAAAGCAAGGGGACAGCUGGGGGAAGAACAGGGGAACGUCCCAGCAACGGACUUCUUCUUUCACAUCCACAUCUUCUGCUUCCCUACUGAGCUGCAAAGCUGCCAGAGGAGCUGCAGUACCGCUGCCCGACUCCUGCCUGUGUCAGAAAGAGCUGCACGUGAGCAGAGUGCAAUUGCCAUUCUAAAGCCAACUCCAUCACUGCAGUCACAACACCACAACCUUCAGUAUCUGCUACAGGCAGACGACCAUGCCCUUGCACAGGAACCAUUCCUACAGAGCAAGGGAAGUCCUUCACUGCCUUAGGUCGUGAGGAACACAGGAAGGGCCCCAAAGCCUUCAGCACAUGACAUGGAGCCACCAAAGUUGGCAGCUAAACACACC
RNAcentral lists this long non-coding RNA (1428 nucleotides) under Gallus gallus (chicken). RNAcentral describes it as "lncRNA (ENSGALG00010029067.1)". Lineage: Eukaryota; Metazoa; Chordata; Aves; Galliformes; Phasianidae. The record is from RNAcentral.